Molecule: long non-coding RNA, 328 nt
Organism: Drosophila mojavensis
Lineage: Eukaryota; Metazoa; Arthropoda; Insecta; Diptera; Drosophilidae
Exons: 2
Source: RefSeq, a predicted model, not a curated record
GGGCUGCAUAGCCUUAAAAAUGUAUUUUAUAAAAAUAUUGUUCGAAUUUCUUUGGCUGCGCUGGAAUGUUUACAAUUCAUACAAUUUGCACCAGAUUGUCCACCUGGUCGGUAAGUGCCUCAACUAGAGCUGCAUUAAGUGUGGCAAAAAUCGUGGCGAACCAUUUCGCCUGGGUCAUGACAAGGACGCCGCUCAGCUGCAGCAGCCCGACGGACAGCAGGAUAGACAGCACAAAGGCAACAGUGCCCUCCAGGGAACGGUUAGAGCCUGCAACGGAAUCCGAUUAGAAACUGUAUAUAAAUUUAUAAAUAUUAUGUGAUAUACGCAC